Molecule: ribosomal RNA, 305 nt
Filed under: uncultured bacterium
Lineage: Bacteria
Description: bacterial SSU rRNA
Rfam family: Bacterial small subunit ribosomal RNA
Source: RNAcentral
GACGAACGCUGGCGGCGUGCCUAACACAUGCAAGUCGAACGGAGUAGAGACUUCGGUUUUACUUAGUGGCGAACGGGUGAGUAACGCGUGAGAAACCUGCCUUUCAGUGGGGGGCAACAGUUGGAAACGACUGCUAAUACCGCAUAACAUAUCGAAGGGGCAUCCCUUCGAUAUCAAAGCUUUAUGUGCUGAAAGAUGGUCUCGCGUCUGAUUAGCUAGUUGGUGAGGUAACGGCUCACCAAGGCGACGAUCAGUAGCCGGUCUGAGAGGAUGAACGGCCACAUUGGGACUGAGAUACGGCCCAG